GUGGGGAAUAUUGGACAAUGGGCGCAAGCCUGAUCCAGCCAUGCCGCGUGAGUGAUGAAGGCCUUAGGGUUGUAAAGCUCUUUCAGUGGGGACGAUAAUGACGGUACCCACAGAAGAAGCCCCGGCUAACUUCGUGCCAGCAGCCGCGGUAAUACGAAGGGGGCUAGCGUUGUUCGGAUUUACUGGGCGUAAAGCGCACGUAGGCGGAUCGUUAAGUCGGGGGUGAAAUCCUGGAGCUCAACUCCAGAACUGCCUUCGAUACUGGCGAUCUGGAGUCCGGAAGAGGUGAGUGGAACUCCUAGUGUAGAGGUGGAAUUCGUAGAUAUUAGGAAGAACACCAGUGGCGAAGGCGGCUCACUGGUCCGGUACUGACGCUGAGGUGCGAAAGCGUGGGGAGCAAACAGGAUUAGAAACCCUUGUAGUCC
Molecule: ribosomal RNA, 425 nt
Filed under: uncultured bacterium
Lineage: Bacteria
Description: bacterial SSU rRNA
Rfam family: Bacterial small subunit ribosomal RNA
Source: RNAcentral